RNAcentral lists this small RNA (241 nucleotides) under Tursiops truncatus (common bottlenose dolphin). RNAcentral describes it as "7SK RNA (ENSTTRG00000024604.1)". The stretch from base 1 to 185 matches the Rfam family "7SK RNA". Rfam says of the family: 7SK was discovered as an abundant small nuclear RNA in the mid-70s but a possible function has only recently been suggested. Two independent studies have found that 7SK RNA binds the CDK9/cyclin T complex (known as elongation factor P-TEFb). The record is from RNAcentral. Lineage: Eukaryota; Metazoa; Chordata; Mammalia; Artiodactyla; Delphinidae.
GGGUUUAGGGUAAUAUGAUUUUCACAAAGGUCACCAUGUUAAUUUCCAGGAUUGAUUUGGACGGUUGGGUUGGUUGUAGACAUCCCCUUUUCUCCCUUACUGAUCCAUGUGUGUUCCACCAAAGCCACAUUCUCUCUCAGAGAGGACCACUUUUCCAGAUAAAGGAGAGCAAGUCUUUAAUUUCAUAGUGGUUAGGAAGAACUAACAUUCUAAAGAACAAUUUGACUUGGAAUUUUUAUUA